Molecule: ribosomal RNA, 308 nt
Filed under: uncultured bacterium
Lineage: Bacteria
Description: bacterial SSU rRNA
Rfam family: Bacterial small subunit ribosomal RNA
Source: RNAcentral
GUGCCAGCCGCCGCGGUAAUACGUAGGGGGCGAGCGUUGUCCGGAAUGACUGGGCGUAAAGGGCGCGUAGGUGGCCUUACAAGUCUGGAGUGAAAGUCCCGUUUUUAAGGUGGGAAUGGCUUUGGAAACUGUAAGGCUUGAGUGUGGGAGAGGAUAGCGGAAUUCACGGUGUAGCGGUGAAAUGCGUAGAGAUCGGGAGGAAAACCAGUGGCGAAGGCGGCUAUCUGGACCAAGACUGACGGUGAAGCGCGAAAGCGUGGGCAGCAAACAGGAUUAUAUACCCUGGUAGGCCACGCUGUAAACGAUGG